RNAcentral lists this long non-coding RNA (329 nucleotides) under Carica papaya (papaya). RNAcentral's name for it is "long non-coding RNA (CPAP_LNC009255)". The record is from RNAcentral. Lineage: Eukaryota; Viridiplantae; Streptophyta; Magnoliopsida; Brassicales; Caricaceae.
CAUCCACUAAUGGACGCCAAAUACACCACCCCCUCAAUACCCUGUCUGGUAAUGAAUAAAAUCAAAACAAUUCCUAACCCCUUCCAAUAUUGGAUCUCUUAGUCCCGUUCGACCGAGGGUAACGUCCACAUUAAGGUUUACCCUAUGUAUUAAGUUCGUACACCCUUUUCCAUUACACCCGGUAAAUACCUUUAAUUUUAAUAACGUUACAUAUACAUACAAGUUCCCAUUACCAUCUAACCACCAAAUACGUGUAACACUCACAUUUCACAAUUAUCAAAAAAAUAUAACGAUUAUUUAAUAGGUGAUACAAAUUAAGACCUAAUGAU